RNAcentral lists this ribosomal RNA (233 nucleotides) under uncultured Actinomycetales bacterium. RNAcentral describes it as "partial 16S ribosomal RNA". It matches the Rfam family "Bacterial small subunit ribosomal RNA", at positions 97 to 334 of the family's 1533-position model. The record is from RNAcentral. Lineage: Bacteria; Bacillati; Actinomycetota; Actinomycetes; Actinomycetales.
GGCGAACGGGUGAGUAACACGUGGGUGAUCUGCCCUGCACUCUGGGAUAAGCCUGGGAAACUGGGUCUAAUACCGGAUAGGAGCCAUCUUUAGUGUGGUGGUUGGAAAGUUUUUCGGUGUAGGAUGAGCUCGCGGCCUAUCAGCUUGUUGGUGGGGUAAUGGCCUACCAAGGCGGCGACGGGUAGCCGGCCUGAGAGGGUGGACGGCCACAUUGGGACUGAGAUACGGCCCAG